CUUGACGACCAUAGAACAUUGGAACCACCUGAUCCCAUCCCGAACUCAGCAGUGAAACGAUGUAUCGCCGAUGGUAGUG
This 79-nucleotide ribosomal RNA is filed under the name Pseudomonas syringae pv. actinidiae. Lineage: Bacteria; Pseudomonadati; Pseudomonadota; Gammaproteobacteria; Pseudomonadales; Pseudomonadaceae. The record is from RNAcentral.